This 136-nucleotide non-coding RNA is filed under the name Frankia sp. Lineage: Bacteria; Bacillati; Actinomycetota; Actinomycetes; Frankiales; Frankiaceae. The record is from RNAcentral.
AACCUCGUAGCCUGUCGAAGCUAGUCGUGAUGUUGACAGGAAGCCGGUGAGAUACCGGCACGGCCGCGCCACUGUGACCGCUGGAGCAUUCCGUUUCCAGUCCGGAAGUCAGACCCGUUUCAUCACGAAUCCACCA